This 4126-nucleotide long non-coding RNA is filed under the name Podarcis lilfordi (Lilford's wall lizard). The record is from RNAcentral. Lineage: Eukaryota; Metazoa; Chordata; Lepidosauria; Squamata; Lacertidae.
GUGUGUCUGAAAGAAAACAUCUUGAUAGUUAGAAAUUUGACUCGAAAGAAUGGGGAAAGAGGGCUUCAGCUGAAGUUCCUGCAGGGUGGCAGAGUGGCAAAAGCACAAUCAUAUUAAAGAAGCAGAAACCUCUUCCCUAGAAAUGAGAGUAUGCAAUUUUUUAUUAUUCCAACAGUGCCCUUUACAUAGCUGUAGGCAAUGGUACGGAUUCUGCAAGCAUGACUAUUGAUUGUAGGAGGUGGUCUUCCCAACAUUUCUACAUAUAUUGCAGAAUGUUAAUUUAUAAGCAUGCUUCCAAAUUCUUUAGUAUAUGCCUUGUGUGCGUAUUAGGCUUUCAAGCAUGUCAAACUGUACACACUGUUGUUGGUAAGUAGUUUAAAUUAAUGUCUUACUUUUAAAUUUAUGAAGCUACAAAGACUUCCUGGAUCUUUCUGAGGGAUGCUUAUCAAUUUCCUUAUCGAGUUGUGAAAAUCAAACUGAGCUUGAAUUCAAUUCAUUUGAUUCCAGUGACAUUUAUUGAUGUGAAGUGUAAUUAAAAAACAUUGUCUUGUAAGACUGUCAGUUCCCUGGUAUGCCCUUUUCAAACUCUAAUUUACAAGAACAAUAUAAUUUACCUUGCACACCAGCAGACCAUAGCAAGUUUUAGUGACUGAAAUAUUAUUCUGUUCCAGAAAACAGCAGAUCACAAUUAAGAAUGACGUGUGCCUUGUGCUUCGAAUUUUUUGCAGUAAUGAUUGGUUGUUUCGGCUAUCAGUGCUGCAUACAAACGCUUACAUGAUUUUAGAAAAUAGGAGUGCACUGUUACUAGACAGUAAACAAAUUAAUUAAACGUGGAUGUCUGUUUUGUAGAAUCCCAUUUGUAUUUUUUAGUACAAUAUUGUUCACAAGCAGACCUUCACCAUAGCAAUGUUUGUGUAUAAUUAUUAGUGGUAUGCAAAAGAUUCGCAUGAAUCCCCAGUCAAGAACUGAAGUUACAGCGGAAUAUCUCAGUUGGUUAGGACGUGGUACUGUUAACGCCAAGUUUGCAGGUUCGAUCCCUGUAGGGACAGCUGCAUAUUUGUGCAUUGUAGGGGGUUGAAGUAGAUGAUCUUCAGGGUCCCUUCCAAUUCAGUAAUUCUAGAAUUCUAAUUCUAUGAAUUUAAAAGCAGAGACAUCGCCAACAAAGGUCCGUAUAGUUAAAGCCAUGGUUUUCCCAGUAGUGAUGUAUGGAAGCGAGAGCUGGACCAUAAAGAAGGCUGAUCACCAAAGAAUUGAUGCUUUUGAAUUAUAGUGCUGGAGGAGACUCUUGAGAGUCCCAUGGACUGCAGGAAGAUCAAACGUAUCCAUUCUUAAGGAAAUCAGCCCUGAGUGCUCCCUGGAAGGACAGAUCGUGAAGCUGAGGCCCCAAUACUUUGGCCACCUCAUGAGAAGACUCGACUCCCUGGAAAAGACCCUGAUGUUGGGAAAGAAUGAGGGCACAAGGAGAAGGGGACGACAGAGGACGAGAUGGUUGGACAAUGUUCUCGAAGCUACCAGCAUGAGUUUGACCAAACUGUGGGAGGCAGUGGAAGACAGGAGUGCCUGGCAUGCUCUGGUCCAUGGGGUCACGAAGAGUCGGACAGGACUAAACAACUAAACAACAAACAACAACAAUAAUUCUAUGAAGUGGGGCAGCUUUGGACAGAUUCGGGACUUGCUGGAGCUGAAGUGGGUAUUUCCAUGGUACCUUGAAGCAGGGAGCUUUUGGAAGAUUUAGAUUGUUGGGCCUCAGUAAUUUUCUGCCUUCAUAAGUGGGCCCUGGAGGUAGAGAUUUUGAGAACCCUCCUUGAUCUAGGACAAAUGAAGCCAACAUGGGGACCUCCAGAUGUUGUGGAUUGCAAUUCCCCAUAUCUCUUAUCAUUGACCAUGCUGGCUGAGACAUCCAAAACAUCUGAAGGGUACUUAUAAAUGACUCCCCCUGCUCUAACAUUUGAACUGGACAAUUGGGAUUUAACUGGUGUCCCCCCCCCCCAAAAAAAUCUGAGCCAUAGGUUGCAAUCUGAUACUGUUUUGGCAUCAUCUGGUUUCUGUCCGUGCCAUCUGAAAAGGGAGAGUAGAUUAGGCUGGUUGAAGUCGCCGGAUUUUGACAAAGAUCAGUAUGCUGGAAAACCCAUUUGCCACAGCCAGCCCAUCUAUAAUUCAUUUUUGUGUAGAUUCCCUCUCCGCAUGCACUCUGCUUUGUUUCUGUGAAAAUAAGCUGAAAAGUAAUUAAAAUGCCUGUCUCUCAGGUCUCUUAAUUAAAAAAAAUAUAUAGUGUGUUUCAGCAGUUGAAAGAUGCGCCGAGAUCUCCCCGAGGCUCCCUCUUGCUAUAAAAAGAGCUUUCUAUUUUCGUUUUACUUCUCUCUGAAAAAGAACCACCUACCCUGCUUAUUCAUCCCCCGUUGGAAUUUACUGAUCCAGUUGCAAGCCUGAGCCAUUUAAAAUUAGCAGCCAUGCUCUAUCAGCCUUUAGGGUGCACUCCUUCAUUUAAUAAAAGGACACUGUCAGCUUGGCACAUUACUAAAGCACUCAGCCAGAAUAACCCUCGCACAAUGUCAAUACCUUUUUUAUUUUUAAUUUUCAACUUUUUCACAUAAAAUUAUUUUUGGCAAUGAGAACCGGAGGAGAUGAAACACGUUUUCAUUUCCCCCCCUUCCCUCAGCAAAUUCUAACUUUUCCCCCCCCUGCCUUGCUGGGCGAAAUGAUAUGCUGAUUUUCUCUGAUCUUCCUUCAAGCUCCAGGUUUUGGAAUAUGUAAGGAUAUUCUCCUGCUAGCGAGACACUCAGGGAGAAUUUGCAUAGCAAAUUGGAACAUCUGUCGGAUUUAUACAUUUGCCUCUUAUAGUAGUUCUCUUAUUAAUUAACCAUUGCAACUCAGGUCUGCAGGGACUUGCCUGUGUAAAAGAGUGAUAAUGGCGAUAUGGGGCCUUUAAUAUCUAUUUUAUACAUCCAUAUUCCAUCCUAUUUGGCCAAGAAUUGUAAUGAUGGGUGAUAAUUACCAUUUUAUAGUAAGAUGUAUUGGUGUCUAGCAAAAUACCAGUCAUUAUGGGUCUGUACAAUGUUCUCUUAUAACUCUGGGAAAUAGUAACUGCAGCUUUUGGCAGGGGAAGAAUCCUAUGGAUUAUAAUUUGCAGUUUGUCCAGGAGUGCUAAAUCACAAGUUCAGGUUCACAUAUCAAGCUAAGCCAGACUUGCAGCCAAGAAGCUGUGAUCUCCACUCUCAGAGCCUGUAUGCUUUCGGGUUUAAUGUGAUGUGCAAACCAGGCCAUUUCCUAGUGGCAUGCAGAUAUUAUAAUGCAAAUAGUACUAAUUUCUUCUCCUCCUCGUGAAUGCUGAAGGAACAAAAACAGGUCAUUCAUCGCCUCCCUAUUUUGGUUUUAAAAUUCUGGCAACCAUCUAUACAUCAAAUAUAAUGAUAGGAUAAGCUCUGGCAUUGUAGUGAACAAAAUGGGUCUUAAAAUGUAAUUUAAUACUCACUUGCACCUGUAUUAGGGCAACAGCUUAUCCAUCAUAACUGCUGGCUUAUGAAAAUAGAAACAGAGAAAACCCUACAAUGCUAAAUGAGUGCAGAAUUUAUUGCAUGGGUUUUGUGAAAGGUCAUACCACAUAAUGUGUUGGGGUUUUUUUUGUCUGAGUACAAAUAAUUAUAUGCUUUUGGAAUUUGUCCAGUAAAUUCAAGUUAAGUAGAUAGUCAAGCUACUGCACUAACAGCUCUCAUAGAAGAGAUGGCAUGGUACCCCAUCCUUGGUAUAGACCAGGGUUUCCCAAACUUGAGUUUCCAGCUGUUUUUGGAUUACAAUUCCCAUCAUCCCUGACCACUGGUCCUGCUAGCUAGGAAUGAUGGGAGUUGUAGUCAAAAAACAGCUGGAGACCCAAGUUUGGUAAACCUUGAUAUAGACAAAUAUAUAUCUUUAUUGAAUUGAAUUAAUUGCUUGUGAUGAAUUGGUUGCUGUUUGCUUUAUAUGCUGUUGCGUUUGAUAUUAUAGUCAUUGCAAUGGUUAUUUUUAAUGCUGUUGUGAUCAUUGUGAGCCGCUUUGAGCUCAAAAUUUGUUGUUGGAAAAGCAGGAUACAAAAUGUGGGAGGGUAGUAGCACACACAGAAAAACCAAGGAUGAUAGGCGUGACAUAGGAG